Long non-coding RNA from Vespula pensylvanica (western yellowjacket), 2395 nucleotides. RefSeq lists it as uncharacterized. Lineage: Eukaryota; Metazoa; Arthropoda; Insecta; Hymenoptera; Vespidae. The transcript has 6 exons. The record is from RefSeq and is a predicted model, not a curated record.
AUUAUUGCAAAUGAAUCCUUAAAAUUUAAAAAAUUUUGAAAUCAUUAAAAAUACGAAGAACGUCGAAAGUAUAAGAUUCAGAUUAGAAGUUUGGAUUAGCGUAUUGACGUCUUGGAUUUGGUUUAAUAGAAAUAUUGCGGAGAAAAAAAUUGCUGCAGAAUCAACUCAUUGUUAAUAUUGCGACUUGUUACGGUACGACUUAUUUUUGUUUGCACAAUUGUGAAUUGCAAUUUUUCAAUGAAUGAAAUAUUUAUUCGUACAACAACAACGAGAUCAUUGAAACCAUGAAAGACGUGACAAAGAAGUUAGUUUACAUCGAACGGUAGCGUGCUUGUGUCAGGAAACACUUGCGUUGCAUGGUAACGAGAGAGUGCUUUGUUCAGAGGUUUCUAAAUGCACGAUACGUAAAGUAUGUUUUACAAGACGAAUCUAUUUGCAUUUUGUGCUAGAAAAUGAAAAGAAUUCCUAUCACGUUGUUGCUCGAAUUGAUGAUAUCCUGUAGACCACUGUGAAUGUGAAUAACAAGGAAGAUUUACUUAUUCUAUAAGUGAUCUUUUGGGAAACAUCAAAACUAAAAUACUCCGUCUAAAAAUAUGGAUUAUAAGUUUGUAACGAGCUGAUACGAAGAAAAAACUAAUCGAUGAUCUCUGAAUGUUCGAUGAAGAGGAAUUAUGUAGGAAGUUACUGAUUGCGACUUCUCGAGGAUAUAUCACGCAACUAUAUGAAAAUUACCAACUGAAAUCCGUCGAUAAAAGAAAUUACAUUAUCCCAUAGCAAAUCACCGACUGCGAUCCAUCGUUAAUACAAAAUGUUACAUACCGAAUGCUUUACCAUUAGUGUCGAUAAUAAUUUCAUUAUCGACCAGUAUAUUACAUAAGUCACUAAAAAGUGACAUCUAACAAAGUGGAGGAUGCUGGUCUGACUAUAAUUCAAAAAGCUGGUAUCUCUUGUUGCCUUAGAUGACCGAUUUUAUGCAAAGGAUUAUGUGAAGAAAAUAAUAUCUUAUCAACGUGUUAUCAAUACUGUAGUGGACAAAAUGAUAUGUGUAGUUCACUUCAUUUUUAGAUAGAUUUUUCUUUUCUUUUUCUUUUUAUAGAUGAUACAGUAUGAAUAAGAGCAUUAUCCUGUUGAAAUUAAAAUGAUAAUAUUUCAUCAUGUUCUUGAAGGUAAGGGAACGAAUGUGGCUUCUGAAACUUCUUAAUAUCCGUUAUUAUUCAUCCUUGUUGCGAUCGAAGCGAUUUGGAGUUUCUAAGAUUUCAAAGUUCCCCGUGCAAUUAUAUAAAAUAAAUAUAUAACUACGCAAAGUAUAUAACCUUACGAUUUAUUUGUGAAAUUCUUUAAUUCGAUAAGAAUCGAAUUAUCAUAGAGUUGUCGAUAAAGAUAAGCUCAGGAAUGAAUGGUUUUAUGUACACUAUCGUUUGUUCUUCCGCCGGCUAAUUCUAGACACGUGUAACUACAAUAUUCUGAGCUGAUCCAGCGGAAAUUGAAUCCGAUGAUUUCAUAUGCACUCAUGAUUUUUUAACGACGAGUUAAUUAUAACUCUUGGAAGAUGAGAGAUCUCUCUGCUUUAUUAUGUUUUAGAGUAACGUACGAUAAAAAAAUUAUCUGUUAAAUUACCGCUCGAUAUCAAGGUAUUAUACAACUCUAUUCUCAUUUAUAUUUCAUUGACUAAAUUGUUUUGUCAUUUGUAUACCUUUUUUAUUUCUUCCUUUUUCUUACUCGGGGAUUUUUUUGAAUUCAACUAAAUAAAUGGUAUGAAACCCCAACAUAGCAAAUUAAUCUAUAAAUAUGUUUAAAUCUGUCUGAAAUUAACGAUUAUUGAUGAUUUGAUAAGAAGAAUUAGAAAAAAAAAUAAACGAAUUAUUAAUCAACUCCGCGAACAAAUGAAUACAAAAUCAUUAAUAAGAAAAUUUCUUAUCUAUUUCUUAUCGAUCUAUCGAUCGUCUGUGUACAGAACUAUUAAAUAUUGAACUUACAUCAGUAUUGCGACAACGUUACCAAAGAACCCUAAUUUCUCCUUAAAGUUUUGUCCAUUUUAUGCGUACACAACAAAAUUUAUUUAAUAAAGAACAAAAUCUUAAAAAAGUAAAAGAAAAAAAAUCCCCGAAUAUAUCUCUAUACGAUUGAUAUUUUAAUGAGUUGUUUCCAUUUGAUACUAGCAUGAUACAGCAAAUACUUAUUGUGAAAUAUUGAUACUCUAUAAUAAGCAAGUAAUGCUUAUUUAUUAAUUAUAAUGAUCAUCUUCUAUCAAAGCACAUGGCACAUUUAUGUGUGAAUUAUAAUGACGUAAGAUACAUAAUUACGUAGAAUCUUAGUAAUAUAACAUCAUCUCUUCGAGCAUCUUCCGAUAAACGAGUUAAUUUGAAAAAGAAAUCUUUUUUGAUUACAACAGAAA